RNAcentral lists this ribosomal RNA (416 nucleotides) under Klebsiella pneumoniae. Its description in RNAcentral is "bacterial SSU rRNA". It matches the Rfam family "Bacterial small subunit ribosomal RNA", at positions 1020 to 1434 of the family's 1533-position model. Lineage: Bacteria; Pseudomonadati; Pseudomonadota; Gammaproteobacteria; Enterobacterales; Enterobacteriaceae. The record is from RNAcentral.
UCGGGAACUGUGAGACAGGUGCUGCAUGGCUGUCGUCAGCUCGUGUUGUGAAAUGUUGGGUUAAGUCCCGCAACGAGCGCAACCCUUAUCCUUUGUUGCCAGCGGUUCGGCCGGGAACUCAAAGGAGACUGCCAGUGAUAAACUGGAGGAAGGUGGGGAUGACGUCAAGUCAUCAUGGCCCUUACGACCAGGGCUACACACGUGCUACAAUGGCAUAUACAAAGAGAAGCGACCUCGCGAGAGCAAGCGGACCUCAUAAAGUAUGUCGUAGUCCGGAUUGGAGUCUGCAACUCGACUCCAUGAAGUCGGAAUCGCUAGUAAUCGUAGAUCAGAAUGCUACGGUGAAUACGUUCCCGGGCCUUGUACACACCGCCCAGUCGACACCAUGGGAGUGGGUUGCAAAAGAAGUAGGUAGC